AAUCAACGCUGGCGGCGUGCCUCAGACAUGCAAGUCGAACGCGAAAGGCUCCUUCGGGGGCCGAGUAGAGUGGCGCACGGGUGAGUAACACGUAGGUAAUCUACCUUUGGAUGGGGAAUAACAACCGGAAACGGUUGCUAAUACCGCAUAAUGCAGCGGCACCUAAUGGUGACAGUUGUUAAAGCGGGGGAUCAAAGACCUCGCGUCUGAAGAGGAGCCUGCGGCGGAUUAGCAGUUGGUAAGGUAAUGGCUUACCAAGGCUACGAUCCGUAACCGGCCUGAGAGGGCGGUCGGUCACACUGACACUGACAUACGGGUCAGACUCCUACGGGGAGGCAGCAGUCGGGAAUUUUGGGCAAUGGGCGAAAGCCUGACCCAGCAACGCCG
RNAcentral lists this ribosomal RNA (387 nucleotides) under uncultured bacterium. RNAcentral's name for it is "bacterial SSU rRNA". It matches the Rfam family "Bacterial small subunit ribosomal RNA", at positions 32 to 399 of the family's 1533-position model. The record is from RNAcentral.